RNAcentral lists this ribosomal RNA (772 nucleotides) under uncultured Neocallimastigales. Its description in RNAcentral is "partial large subunit ribosomal RNA". It matches the Rfam family "Eukaryotic large subunit ribosomal RNA", at positions 26 to 639 of the family's 3401-position model. The record is from RNAcentral. Lineage: Eukaryota; Fungi; Neocallimastigomycota; Neocallimastigomycetes; Neocallimastigales.
CGCAUCUGUGCAUGCAGCACAUCAAUAAGCGGAGGAAAAGAAACUAACAAGGAUUCCCUAGUAACGGCGAGUGAAGCGGGAAGAGCUCAAAUUUGAAAUCUUCAAGGUUUUACCUUGACGAAUUGUAGUUUAAAGAAGUGUUUUCUGUUGAAGUUUUGGUAAAAGUUCUUUGGAAUAGGACAUCAUAGAGGGUGAGAAUCCCGUAUUUGACCAUUAUUUUCAGCUGUGUGAUACACUUUCAAAGAGUCGGAUUGUUUGGGAAUGCAGUCCAAAAUGGGUGGUAAAUUUCAUCUAAAGCUAAAUAUUGGCGAGAGACCGAUAGCGAACAAGUACCGUGAGGGAAAGAUGAAAAGAACUUUGAAAAGAGAGUUAUACAGUACGUGAAAUUGUCAAAAGGGAAGCGUUUGACACCAGUGUUGUUUUCUCGAAAAUCAAUUAAAAAGAGUUAGAUUUUGUUGUGUAUUGACCUUAACAGCUUGCAUUUCAAUUUUCUUGCUUUUUUUAAUGCACUCUUCGUUUAACAAGUCAACAUCAGUUUCUUUUGUUGUAAAAAGGUCAUUGGAAGGUGGCUUUCUUUUCGGAGAAAGUGUUUAUAGCCUUUGACUCCUGCAAUCGGAGAGACUGAGGUCUGCAGCGUAGAUCCUUCGGGGUUAGAUACAUUUGUGCUAAGUUAUAGCUUUUAUAGACAACUUGUUGACUAUGAUUAGUCUUGUAGCUUACUCGCUUAUGCUAUUUUACCUACGCUUAGGAUGUUGACGCGCGUGUGUGCGUG